GUGGGGAAUAUUGGACAAUGGGCGAAAGCCUGAUCCAGCCAUGCCGCGUGUGUGAAGAAGGUCUUCGGAUUGUAAAGCACUUUAAGUUGGGAGGAAGGGCAGUAAGUUAAUACCUUGCUGUUUUGACGUUACCGACAGAAUAAGCACCGGCUAACUUCGUGCCAGCAGCCGCGGUAAUACGAAGGGUGCAAGCGUUAAUCGGAAUUACUGGGCGUAAAGCGCGGGUAGGUGGGUUUGUAAGUUGGAGGUGAAAUCCCCGGGCUCAACCUGGGAACUGCCUCCAAAACUGCAUGACUAGAGUACAGUAGAGGGUAGUGGAAUUUCCUGUGUAGCGGUGAAAUGCGUAGAUAUAGGAAGGAACACCAGUGGCGAAGGCGACUACCUGGACUGAUACUGACACUGAGGUGCGAAAGCGUGGGGAGCAAACAGGAUUAGAUACCCCAGUAGUCC
Molecule: ribosomal RNA, 450 nt
Filed under: uncultured bacterium
Lineage: Bacteria
Description: partial 16S ribosomal RNA
Rfam family: Bacterial small subunit ribosomal RNA
Source: RNAcentral